Thermoplasmatales archaeon BRNA1 is the source of this 122-nucleotide ribosomal RNA. The record is from Rfam. NCBI's taxonomy places the organism in Archaea, Methanobacteriati, Thermoplasmatota, Thermoplasmata, Thermoplasmatales.
UUGGACGGCCACAGCAGUGGGGUUCACCCGGUCCCAUCUCGAACCCGGCAGUUAAGCCCACUCACGUAGGUGUCGCGUACUGUGUUGCGCAAGUGCACGGGAAAGCACCCACGCUGUCCACU